Molecule: ribosomal RNA, 235 nt
Filed under: uncultured bacterium
Lineage: Bacteria
Description: partial 16S ribosomal RNA
Rfam family: Bacterial small subunit ribosomal RNA
Source: RNAcentral
UACAGAGGGUGCAAGCGUUAUUCGGAAUCACUGGGCGUAAAGAGCGCGUAGGCGGUUUGCUAAGUCCGAUGUGAAAUCCCUGGACCCAAUCCAGGAACUGCAUCGGAUACUGGUAGACUAGAGUAUAGGAGAGGAGAGCGGAAUUCCUGGUGUAGAGGUGAAAUUCGUAGAUAUCAGGAGGAACAACAGAAGCGAAGGCGGCUCUCUGAACUAUUACUGGACGCUGAGGCGCGAA